CUGGUGUGCAACUGAAGGGAGGAGGGAGCAGGCGUUCCUCUGCUGCUGAAGAGGGCUGUGGAAACUUAAGUCAUAGACAUGCUUCAGUGAGAGGAUGAGGAUUUGCCCAGAUGGGAAGCUUCAAGUGCAGAGGCACUUGUACAUCUACUUAUCUUGAGUCUCAAUGAUGCUGUUUAUGAGUGAGCUAUUCAAAUGGAGGAAGAAACCCACGGAGAAGGAGAAAUAACAGGUCGGAGUGAUUAUGUACAGAAGGAUAGGCUCUAGCAGGAGUCCAGUGGGAAAGAAGGAAGGGAAUACAAUUAAGAAUUAUUAAUGGCAGAUCUCUAAUGAUUUCACUGGAUCCAAAGGAACAGGGCAAUACUGAGUAAGAAACACUUGAUAUACGAAAAAAGCGUGAGUGCGAAGGAAAAUACAUCAUUCUACAGAUGUUGACGGACUCUGACGGUGGGAAAGCGUCCCUCAAGAUUGAAUUGGAGUAGAAGCUGACCCUCCCACUUGCCCAGAGAUCCCCUAGCUGCUUUCCUGAUCAAUUUCAUCACACAAGCUGGCAGCUAUGGGCAGUGAGGGAAGGAAGGGGCAAUCUCCUCACUAGACAGCCGUGCCAAGGUCACCCUGGUCCAUCCAUGAGGUUUCAACACACAUGGGAACAAGAUAUAUUCAUGGAAUGUGCCUUUGAACCUGCAUUCAAAAGAACUCAGACAGAGUAGGAGAAUGGACCAGAUGACCUCUAUAGGUGUCUCUCCACAGGCAGAAAAAUCAAACGCCCAGAGAGGUCAAGAUGUCUGCAAAGAGACACAGAGUGAUGCAAUGGAAAUCCUGUGUGGAGGUCUCCAGAAGGCUAAUUUCUGAAGCAGUGUUCUAUCCACAUGACCGUGCUGCUGCUCAUUAAGAUGGUACCUCUCAUUAAGAUAAAGCAUAAUCAUUAAAAAUCCUUUAGCUUGCUCACAUUAACUACCAUUGUGCGUCACAGGUCUAAUGCUUCAUGAAAGCUCAGAGUGAAUUAGACAUUUUAUUUAAGUGCUACUUAACUAAAAGUUAAAAAGUAUAAUUUUCUAUUGCAGCAUAAGAACUGGAGAGACUAAUUUGGUGUGGUUGUUAAAUUUUACAAAGCCUGAUUCUCAAUUUUCAAAAAAUAUUGUACAUUUAUUUAUUGAAGUGAAUGAAACAUUUGCUAUAAAACUAUUCAACGGAAAGUUUUUUAACAAAGCAUAAUUUACUUUUCAUUUACAGAACAAUGGAAAGUAGAAAGAAAUCUCCUCCAAGGUAUUAGAAUCAUGUACAGUUUCAUAUUUGACUAAAAAAUUAUUUCCCCAGCCUGUUUUCUCAACACUAAGGAUAUGCAGAAAAGUAUCACUUGCAUUCAUCAUGAAAAUUACAGAAAAAUGACUGAAACUACUGAGAACAUUAUUAAAUAAAACAUAUACUUAUUAUCUGU
Molecule: long non-coding RNA, 1435 nt
Filed under: Homo sapiens (human)
Lineage: Eukaryota; Metazoa; Chordata; Mammalia; Primates; Hominidae
Description: HSALNT0010152
Source: RNAcentral